AAAUCUCUUUCAGGCCGCUCAGCUGGUUUCUGCUUCUCCCACAUAGCGGAUCUUGUCUCAGAAUCUUUGCAGCUCAGUUUCUUUCCUCUGAGAGGGAUUGUCUUAGCUUUUAUUGUUUACUAUGACUUGGCUCUGCACCAAGGCCCAGCACUGCUUCAAACACUUGCAGCUGGCCCAGGGAAGUAGAAUGUGGAGGAUAUUCUUGGAUAGAGACUACUGAAAUAAUGGACAUCAAGAAAUUGGAAUUUACCAGAAGAGAAAGGCUGAAUCCUGAUGGUACCCAGAGGAACACUUGUCUCAUCGAGAAAGAGGCUGCACAGACUACCUUGCAGAAAAGACUGGAGCAUAGUCAAAGAUGGGCCAACAUGGAUGGGACUGUGCCCUGACCAUGCUAAGUUAUGCAUACCUGCUGUUAGGGUUUGAAAACCAUUAAAAGAAGAUCCCAGAC
Molecule: long non-coding RNA, 448 nt
Organism: Mus musculus (house mouse)
Lineage: Eukaryota; Metazoa; Chordata; Mammalia; Rodentia; Muridae
Product: RIKEN cDNA 4930430J02 gene
Exons: 3
Source: RefSeq, marked validated